GCCAAAAGCAAGAAGCCGGCAAGAGAGAUAGAGAGACAAUCGGAGCACCGGGUCGAGCGGCAUUGCCGAUUGGCUUACAAUUUAACUUUAAGCCCAAUAACGUGACAAUGUCAGAGCUGCAAGAAUGCAAUAUUGUCAGACAUCGGAACGCAGAAGGCUGCGAACUACAUAAGGAGUCAAGAAGAGCAAUCUUGCUCUCCGUCUCCUUCCUUGGUUAAAAAAGGGUGUCCCAGAGAGUUCCAUUUGUUUGUUACGAAAUGGAAUUAAUUCCUGUUGCGACUUGAAGAAUUAAGAGUUUUCAGUGGAAAGGUUCCUGGAAGACGAUUUCAGCUUUGAUAUUUGAAUUAUUACUUUUUGUAUAAAGAGUUUGUCAAUUGUACAGCAGUGCCAAAGGCUUGAAUAUUGAGCUGCAACCAUGAGCAGAUUGUCCUUUGUGGUUAUGAUAUACUAAAUGCAAAUACUUGAGCACAGUUUUUAAACAGCGACAAUGUUCUGGUCAGGCAACUGAUUUAUGAGCUAGUAGCUUAUGAUGCAGACACUUUGUUUUUGUAGUCAUCGUUUUCAACAAGUGUGGGCAAUACCAUUUUAUGAUACCAUUACAACUGGGCGUUCACUGUUUAAGUGAUUUUUUUUUAAUAUAUUUUAAUGGAGAUUAAGCUCUAUUGGAUGGCAAUAUAAUUCAUGCCCUUCAGUAGAUUGCAGAACCACUUGAACCAUCUCGCUGAAACUGAAAUAUUCGACUGUUGGUGUGUGCACAAUGUGCAUGCAAGUGUGCCUGUAUCUGACCUUUUUGUUUUGAGUCAUGUUACGUUGGACACAUCCUAUGCUCAUGUUUUUGUUGAUUGCUACGAGAUUUUUCUAAAGCAGUACUGAAUAAGUUGGUUUUCUGCGCGUUUGCAUUGAUAUGUAUAGCAGACCAACAACAUAGUUGCACAUUUGUUGGGCUUAUGGCAUCUAAAGUUCUCAUGCCUGGAAUACAUGGACAAAUGAUUUUUGUCGUAUUU
Long non-coding RNA from Nymphaea colorata (pocket water lily), 1004 nucleotides. RefSeq lists it as uncharacterized. The transcript has 4 exons. NCBI's taxonomy places the organism in Eukaryota, Viridiplantae, Streptophyta, Magnoliopsida, Nymphaeales, Nymphaeaceae. The record is from RefSeq and is a predicted model, not a curated record.